Molecule: ribosomal RNA, 441 nt
Filed under: Helicopha sp. CQ2
Lineage: Eukaryota; Metazoa; Arthropoda; Insecta; Trichoptera; Helicophidae
Description: partial 16S ribosomal RNA
Source: RNAcentral
CCUGCCCCCUGAGUUAAAUAUUAAAGGGCCGCAGUAUUAAUUGGGCAGGGGUAGCAUAAUAAUUAGUUUUUUAAUUGAAAACUAGAAUGAAUGGUUGGACGAAAUAUAUAUUAUUUUAAAUUUAUUAUAUAAAAUUUAUUUUUUUAGUUAAAAAUCUAAAAUAUAUUAAAAAGACGAGAAGACCCUAUAGAUUUUUAUAUAAAUUAAACUAUAAAAUUUUAAUUUAUAUUAAAUUGGGGUGAUUAAAAAAUUUAAAUAACUUUUUUAAAAUUAAACAUAAAUUUAUGAAUAAUAUAAAUAUAAUGAUCUAAUUUAUAAUGAUUAAAUAAAGAUAAAAAUACCUUAGGGAUAACAGCGUAAUUUUAAUUUUUAGUUCUUAUAAAAAUUAAAGAUUGCGACCUCGAUGUUGAAUUAAAAUAAAUUUUUAAUGCAGUAGUUAAA